UUUUUAACUUUACUGACAUGGCAU
This 24-nucleotide microRNA is filed under the name Gossypium raimondii (Peruvian cotton). RNAcentral describes it as "gra-miR8762e". Lineage: Eukaryota; Viridiplantae; Streptophyta; Magnoliopsida; Malvales; Malvaceae. The record is from miRBase by way of RNAcentral.